AAAGCUUCUGGGAAGGAUGAUCUAUUUUAUGAUGCCUCAAAGUUUCAGAAUGACUGUAGCCCCCCUCACCUCCUCUGGGCUGAACACCAUCAUCUAGCCUCUGACACUCGGGUCUGGAGACAGAGGGGGUUGAGGGGGAGGCAAUUGCAGCUGGCAGGAACCUUGCUUUUCAAGAACCUGGACCCCAGGACAACUCUGGUUGAGGCUCCCCAAGUCCCUCAAGGCCCCCUGGCCCUAAUCAAUCAAAGAAGAAAAGAUGCAUUAGAAUCUGUUGCUUUCAGCCUCUUGGUUAGUGAGACGGAAGCAAACCAUCGAUACGCACUGCUAUCUGGCUUCCUCUGUGGAAAGUGCAGAUAGAGAUCUCAAGGGUCCUGUUUGCUGAGACCACACUCUCAGGCACCUCUCAAUUCGGAUCAGCCACAUUUCCUGUGCUAGACAGCUAGAGCUGUGUACCUGACCUGUGAAGAGAGAAGAGAAUCAAGGCUUUCAGGGGAGAAGACUUCCCCCUGGUGGACAAAAGUGGAAAGUACAUGGGAGACUGAAGCAACUGGCUGAGCCCCGACCGGACAGGGAAGGUAAGCAAAGGAGGAUGAGAGAAGAGGUCGGGAAUUCAUUCAUCCUCCUCCAGCACCAUGGGGUUUUCACGACAUCUAGUCAACGUCUCAAUUCCCCCGGAAAUGUCUUUGGAUAGUGACCUAUCACAUCCAUUUCCUUGAUUCAAUAAUCAUGUAUGAUUUUGGCAUCGUAUGUACAGUGAGGGCCUGUGGGGACAGCACCCAAAUCAGAGAAGCAGCUCGAGGCCAGGCUCCUGAGGAAUUUGGGAGUGAGAACUGAUGGCAGACUCGCUGCCAGGAAGAGCCUGAGCGUGGACCAUCCUUUGAAGGAAUGUUGCGGUGAAGGCGAGGGGCAUACCAGACUCGAGGGUGUGUUAAAUGGGGAAAAGAGUUUUGGACAACAAUACAGGCUGCAGAGCAAUUGUCGUGAUCAGAUCAAAGGAAUCAGAGGCAUUCGAGAGGGGGCAGAGCAGAGCUGGUUAGGGCAACACACUCUGGAGCCCGCUUCACUGCUUCCUGGCUGAGAGACUUCGGACAAGUCACUUCCCUCCCUGUGCCUCAGUUCCCUCAUCGGUAUAACGUCGGUAAUAAUAGUACCUGCCUCCUGUGUUUGCGGUGUGAUGAGCUGUGUUUGUGUUGAGGAUUGAUUCUCUUUUUCAAAAUAACAUAUGUCAAAUGCUUAGAAUGGACAUAAGAAAAUGCCACGUAUUCGCUAUUAUGAUUACAGGAAUUCCUUUAGACGGCAACAUUUUCUCUGAGUGCUCACACAGAGGUCAGCCUUUUCCCAGCGAGCUGAGGUUCAAG
This 1358-nucleotide long non-coding RNA is filed under the name Equus caballus (horse). RNAcentral describes it as "lncRNA (ENSECAG00000051929.1)". The record is from RNAcentral. Lineage: Eukaryota; Metazoa; Chordata; Mammalia; Perissodactyla; Equidae.